This 254-nucleotide ribosomal RNA is filed under the name uncultured bacterium. RNAcentral's name for it is "partial 16S ribosomal RNA". It matches the Rfam family "Bacterial small subunit ribosomal RNA", at positions 524 to 776 of the family's 1533-position model. The record is from RNAcentral.
UACGAAGGGGGCUAGCGUUGUUCGGAAUCACUGGGCGUAAAGCGCACGCAGGCGGAUUGAUAAGUCAGGGGUGAAAUCCCGGAGCUCAACUUCGGAAUUGCCUCUGAUACUGUCUGUCUUCGAGUUCGGGAGAGGUUGGCGGAAUUCCUAGUGUAGAGGUGAAAUUCGUAGAUAUUCGCAAGAACACCAGUGGCGAAGGCGGCUCACUGGCCCGAUACUGACGCUGAGGCACGAAAGCGUGGGGAGCAAACAGG